GGCUCUCUUGUGACACAUACAAAAAUUGGAAUGAUACAGAGAACAUUAACAUGGCCCCUGAGCAAGUAUGACACGAAAAUUCCUGAAGCAUUUCACAUUUUG
Nycticebus coucang (slow loris) is the source of this 102-nucleotide small nuclear RNA. Lineage: Eukaryota; Metazoa; Chordata; Mammalia; Primates; Lorisidae. The record is from RefSeq and is a predicted model, not a curated record.